AGCUCAUAUUUUUAUAUAAAUGUUAUUGUGAUUUACCUUUCUGACUCACAUCAGCUGCUGAAGCAGGGCUGCUUUGUUACAGCAAAACUCAUGUUUAUCAAAGAAUCUGGAAACUUGUGUAUUUAUGAACUUUACUCAUAAUUCAGCCGACAAAACUAAAAGAAAUGAAUCAAUGUGAACCGAACGAGAGCUGCCACAGGACAGAGAAGUGCUGAACAGAGAAUAUGACAAUAAUAUAUCAAUAAUUUAUCUCAAUUACAUCGCUGGAAGCCAAAUUUGUUGUUUAAAUUAAAAUUCUAAACUCAAAGUAACAAAACGUCCAAUUUACAGUGAACACCUCAUCUGUAUCUGACACAGGGCUGAAGAUAUACCACGGGCCUUGAAUGCAGCAGAGCUCUCAUCAGGUAAGCACAGCAAGACACCUGGACUGUGUUUAACGUGGCGUCUGUAUCGAUGCUGCAGGAAGCAGCUUCAACUCUGAGAGAAGAAUCUGAAAGGGUCACAACAAACUCAGGAAAGGUUUCAAUUUUUUGUUCAACAUCAGGAACCAGGAAGAGCAAGUUCUAGUUCUGGGAAGCUCUUCCUCUGAGCAGGAGGAGCCAGUAUCAAACAGAUGGCUCCAAGUUUCUCAGCUCAGUGAACCGACACAGAUCUGCUCACCUCACAGGUUAACAUGACGUCGACAAACAGAUGCUGCGUUGAUGUUAUUGAUGCUUUUGGACCAACAAAACAGCUUUUUACACCUGUACUCGGAGUGAUCUGAUUGGUCAGUAGGUGAUUUUGUUGAUGCCUGGUCUUGAACGCGACCGUCUUCAGCGCAGGUUAGGCCUCGACAGCGAGUUGGCACGACGGUCUCCUGAGAGGCGGGACUUCAGGACUUCUCAGCCUCUGUACGCCGCGCUGAUGAGCCGACGCUCUGACGGCGGUUUCAGCAGAAACACUGAAACCUUAAUAAAUAGACUGUACGAUGUGAUGGCUGACCUGGUGCAGACAUGAACUCCACCUGGUUCCUGUGAGCUGCAGGUAAACACGGUGGACAGCCUUUCCGUUCGUCCUGUUGGGAAUAACUGAGGAAACAAGGAGCGUGCACACUUUCACUUUCACAGAUUGUGGAAUGAAAUAUUUGAAUAAAGGCUUUAAAAUGUGA
Molecule: long non-coding RNA, 1147 nt
Organism: Maylandia zebra (zebra mbuna)
Lineage: Eukaryota; Metazoa; Chordata; Actinopteri; Cichliformes; Cichlidae
Source: RefSeq, a predicted model, not a curated record